UACAAUACACUAAAUACUUUUGGUGUUCAAUGCUAUACCCUCUAAAAACAAAAUCUUCAUUUAUUUGAAGACACAAUUCUCUGUACGGGCACUUGCCAUGACUUUAUUUUUGAAUAUUUCUGUGUUCAUGUGGUAGGGAAAACAUUGUUGUAUACUACAAAUUCCCUGUUUUGCUUUUAGGUUGGAGACUACAUAAGACUUUGACAGUUGGCGGGAAACCAUCAUCAACUGGAGAGAUGCCGGAAGAGGAAUGUCUGCGACUAAGUCAAGGGCCACUGGAUAAGGGUUGUUGAUGGCAAAACAGGUUGGAGACUACAUAAGACUUUGACAGUUGGCGGGAAACCAUCAUCAACUGGAGAGAUGCCGGUAAAAAGAUGGCCAUAAAACAGUGACCGCUGAUUCGCAUUGAGUUCUUUCUUACAUAUUGGAUGACCUAUGUUUUUUAUUGUUUAAAUCAUUGCGGCUUGGAAUGCUCUUUAAGAAAAGGUAUGGUUAUGGGGGUGUC
Dreissena polymorpha is the source of this 505-nucleotide long non-coding RNA. RefSeq lists it as uncharacterized. The transcript is spliced from 3 exons. The record is from RefSeq and is a predicted model, not a curated record. Lineage: Eukaryota; Metazoa; Mollusca; Bivalvia; Myida; Dreissenidae.